AAUGAACGCUGGCGGCAGGCCUAAUACAUGCAAGUCGAGCGGAGCUGCGGACGGGUGAGUAAUGCCUAGGAAUCUGCCUGUUAGUGGGGGAUAACGUACGGAAACGGGCGCUAAUACCGCAUCCUAUCAGAUGACCCUAGGUCGGAUUUGCUAGUUGGUGGGGUAACGGCCUACCAAGGCGACGAUCCGUAACCGGUCUGAGAGGAUGAUCAGUCACACUGGAACUGAGACACGGUCCAGACUCCUACGGGAGGCAGCAGUGGGGAAUCUUGGGCAAUGGGCGAAAGCCUGAUCCAGCAAUGCCGCGUGUGUGAAGAAGGUCUUCGGAUUGUAAAACUCUGUUAGUAGGGAAGCGGUACCAACAGAGUAAGCAACGGCUAACUACGUGCCAGCAGCCGCGGUAAUUC
This 407-nucleotide ribosomal RNA is filed under the name uncultured bacterium. RNAcentral describes it as "partial 16S ribosomal RNA". It matches the Rfam family "Bacterial small subunit ribosomal RNA", at positions 29 to 526 of the family's 1533-position model. The record is from RNAcentral.